GUCUGAUUAGAUAGUUGGAGAGGUAACGGCUCACCAAGUCAACGAUCAGUAGGGGUUUUGAGAGGAAGGUCCCCCACACCGGAACUGAGACACGGUCCGGACUCCUACGGGAGGCAGCAGUGAGGAAUAUUGGUCAAUGGGCGAGAGCCUGAACCAGCCAAGUCGCGUGAAGGAAGAAGGUCUUAUGGAUUGUAAACUUCUUUUAUAGGGGAAUAAAGAUGAGUACGUGUACUCAGUUGUAGGUACCCUAAGAAUAAGGAUCGGCUAACUCCGUGCCAGCAGCCGCGGUAAUACGGAGGAUCCGAGCGUGUCUGAUUAGAUAGUUGGAGAGGUAACGGCUCACCAAGUCAACGAUCAGUAGGGGUUUUGAGAGGAAGGUCCCCCACACCGGAACUGAGACACGGUCCGGACUCCUACGGGAGGCAGCAGUGAGGAAUAUUGGUCAAUGGGCGAGAGCCUGAACCAGCCAAGUCGCGUGAAGGAAGAAGGUCUUAUGGAUUGUAAACUUCUUUUAUAGGGGAAUAAAGAUGAGUACGUGUACUCAGUUGUAGGUACCCUAAGAAUAAGGAUCGGCUAACUCCGUGCCAGCAGCCGCGGUAAUACGGAGGAUCCGAGCGU
Molecule: ribosomal RNA, 618 nt
Filed under: uncultured bacterium
Lineage: Bacteria
Description: bacterial SSU rRNA
Rfam family: Bacterial small subunit ribosomal RNA (bases 137-618)
Source: RNAcentral